Molecule: ribosomal RNA, 1088 nt
Filed under: uncultured Nitrososphaerota archaeon
Lineage: Archaea; Thermoproteati; Nitrososphaerota
Description: bacterial SSU rRNA
Rfam family: Archaeal small subunit ribosomal RNA
Source: RNAcentral
UCGCCCUUUCCGGUUGAUCCUGCCGGACCCGACUGCUAUCGGAUUGAGAUUUAGCCAUGCGAGUUGAACGUCCCUUGAUUGCAGGGGGCGUAGCAUACGGCUCAGUAACACGUAGUCAACCUGCCCUGGAGACGCGGAUAACCCCGGGAAACUGGGACCAAUCCGUGAUAGGUCGCCCCAUCUGGAAGGAGGGGCGGCCCAAAGGGGAAUUGUGGGCUUCCACUUUUCUCGCUCUAGGAUGGGACUGCGGCCGAUCAGGCUGUUGGCGGGGUAAUGGCCCACCAAACCUGUAACCGGUACGGGCCUUGAGAGAGGUGGCCCGGAGAUGGACACUGAGACAAGGGUCCAGGUCCUACGGGGCGCAGCAGGCGCGAAACCUUCGCAAUGUGCGAAAGCAUGACGAGGUUAAUCCGAGUGGCUUCCGCUGAGGAAGUCUUUUGCCGACUGUAAAAAGGUCGGAGAAUAAGGGGAGGGCAAGUCUGGUGUCAGCCGCCGCGGUAAUACCAGCUCCUCGAGUGGUCGGGGCGAUUAUUGGGCCUAAAGCAUCCGUAGCCGGUUCCGUAGGUCUCCUGCAAAAUCCAGUCGCUCAACGAUUGGCCCGCAGGAGAUACCGCGGGACUAGGAGGCGGGAGAGGUGGACGGUACUCCACGUGUAGGGGUAAAAUCCUUUGAUCCGUGGAAGACCACCAGUGGCGAAGGCGGUCCACCAGAACGCGCUCGACGGUGAGGGAUGAAAGCUGGGGGAGCGAACCGGAUUAGAUACCCGGGUAGUCCCAGCCGUAAACGAUGCUAGCUAGAUGAUCCGAUCGUAAAUCAUGAUCGGAGUGUCGCAGGGAAGCCGUUAAGCUAGCCGCCUGGGGAGUACGGUCGCAAGACUGAAACUUAAAGGAAUUGGCGGGGGAGCACCACAAGGGGUGAAGCCUGCGGUUCAAUUGGAGUCAACGCCAGGAAACUUACCAGGAGAGACAGCAGAUUGAGGGUCAGACUGAAGAUCUUACCUGACGAGCUGAGAGGAGGUGCAUGGCCGUCGCCAGCUCGUGCCGUGAGGCGUCCUGUUAAGUCAGGCAACGAGCGAGACCCAAAGGGCG